RNAcentral lists this ribosomal RNA (387 nucleotides) under uncultured crenarchaeote. RNAcentral describes it as "bacterial SSU rRNA". It matches the Rfam family "Archaeal small subunit ribosomal RNA", at positions 339 to 727 of the family's 1478-position model. The record is from RNAcentral. Lineage: Archaea; Thermoproteati; Thermoproteota.
GCGCGAAAACUUCGCAAUGCGCGAAAGCGUGACGAGGCUACCCGGAGUGCUUCCUGAAGAAGGAAGCUGUUGUGAGUGUUUAAAAAGCCUCACGAGAAAGGAGAGGGCAAGGCUGGUGCCAGCCGCCGCGGUAAAACCAGCUCUUCAAGUUGUCGGGGCGAUUACUGGGCUUAAAGAGUCCGUAGCCGGUUUGGUAAGUCCUUGGUAAAAUCUGGCAGCUUAACUGUCAGUACGCUAGGGAAACUACCUUACUAGAGGGCGGGAAAGGUCUGGGGUACUUCAGGGGUAGGGGUGGAAUCCUAUAAUCCUUGGGGGACCACCAGUGGCGAAAGCGCCAGACUGGAACGCGCCUGACGGUGAGGGACGAAAGCCAGGGGAGCAAACCGG